CAGUCGCCGCGGUAAUACGUAGGUGGCAAGCGUUGUCCGGAAUUAUUGGGCGUAAAGGGCUCGCAGGCGGUUUCUUAAGUCUGAUGUGAAAGCCCCCGGCUCAACCGGGGAGGGUCAUUGGAAACUGGGAAACUUGAGUGCAGAAGAGGAGAAUGGAAUUCCACGUGUAGCGGUGAAAUGCGUAGAGAUGUGGAGGAACACCAGUGGCGAAGGCGAUUCUCUGGUCUGUAACUGACGCUGAGGAGCGAAAGCGUGGGGAGCGAACAGGAUUAGAUACCCCCGUAGUCCCUGUCUCUUAUAC
This 301-nucleotide ribosomal RNA is filed under the name uncultured bacterium. RNAcentral's name for it is "partial 16S ribosomal RNA". It matches the Rfam family "Bacterial small subunit ribosomal RNA", at positions 509 to 807 of the family's 1533-position model. The record is from RNAcentral.